GCGAUUGGAUGAGCCCAUGUCGGAUUAGCUAGUUGGCGGGGUAAAGGCCCACCAAGGCGACGAUCCGUAGCUGGUCUGAGAGGAUGAUCAGCCACACUGGGACUGAGACACGGCCCAGACUCCUACGGGAGGCAGCAGUGGGGAAUAUUGCACAAUGGGCGCAAGCCUGAUGCAGCGACGCCGCGUGAGGGAUGACGGCCUUCGGGUUGUAAACCUCUGUUAGCAGGGAAGAAGAGAGAUUGACGGUACCUGCAGAGAAAGCGCCGGCUAACUACGUGCCAGCAGCCGCGGUAAUACGUAGGGUGCGAGCGUUAAUCGGAAUUACUGGGCGUAAAGCGCGCGUAGGUGGUUUGUUAAGUUGGAUGUGAAAUCCC
This 374-nucleotide ribosomal RNA is filed under the name Skeletonema menzelii. RNAcentral's name for it is "partial Bacterial small subunit ribosomal RNA". It matches the Rfam family "Bacterial small subunit ribosomal RNA", at positions 217 to 603 of the family's 1533-position model. The record is from RNAcentral. Lineage: Eukaryota; Bacillariophyta; Thalassiosirophyceae; Thalassiosirales; Thalassiosiraceae.